UACGAAGGGGGCUAGCGUUGCUCGGAAUCACUGGGCGUAAAGGGUGCGUAGGCGGGUUUUUAAGUCAGGGGUGAAAUCCUGGAGCUCAACUCCGGAACUGCCCUUGAAACUGCAGUGCUAGAAUCCUGGAGAGGCGAGUGGAAUUCCGAGUGUAGAGGUGAAAUUCGUAGAUAUUCGGAAGAACACCAGUGGCGAAGGCGACUCGCUGGACAGGUAUUGACGCUGAGGUGCGAAAGCGUGGGGAGCAAACAGG
This 253-nucleotide ribosomal RNA is filed under the name uncultured bacterium. RNAcentral's name for it is "partial 16S ribosomal RNA". It matches the Rfam family "Bacterial small subunit ribosomal RNA", at positions 524 to 776 of the family's 1533-position model. The record is from RNAcentral.